Molecule: ribosomal RNA, 374 nt
Filed under: uncultured Glomeromycotina
Lineage: Eukaryota; Fungi; Glomeromycota
Description: LSU rRNA
Source: RNAcentral
UUGAAAGGGAAACGAUUGAAGUCAGUCGUUCCUACGGGAAAUCAACCUCUUGAGCUCGGUCUCGUGGGUUUUGAAGAAGUUAAACGCCUUCAUGCCUGCAUAUUCGUGCACUUUGGGUGUAUUUGCCCGUGUGGUAAGUUAACAUCAAUUUUGGUGGUCAUAAAAUGGCUGGAGGAAUGUAGCUUCGAUCUCGUAUUGAAGUGUUAUAGCCUUCGGUAGAUGUGAUUAUCGGGAUUGAGGAUUGCAACGGAUACCCUUCGGGGCUACCUGUCUAAUCUCUGAUCGUUGCUCUGGUGCCGAAAGCUCGCUUAUGAUGUUAGGGGUCGAUGGUCAAUAGGUUAGAACGGGUUAAAUUCGUUAAGGAUGUUGACGUA